AGUAACGCGUGAGGAACCUGCCUCAAAGAGGGGGACAACAGUUGGAAACGACUGCUAAUACCGCAUAAGCCCACAGCCCGGCAUCGAGCAGAGGGAAAAGGAGUGAUCCGCUUUGAGAUGGCCUCGCGUCCGAUUAGCUAGUUGGUGAGGUAAUGGCCCACCAAGGCGACGAUCGGUAGCCGGACUGAGAGGUUGAACGGCCACAUUGGGACUGAGACACGGCCCAG
RNAcentral lists this ribosomal RNA (227 nucleotides) under uncultured bacterium. RNAcentral describes it as "partial 16S ribosomal RNA". It matches the Rfam family "Bacterial small subunit ribosomal RNA", at positions 109 to 334 of the family's 1533-position model. The record is from RNAcentral.